RNAcentral lists this long non-coding RNA (873 nucleotides) under Nicotiana tabacum (common tobacco). RNAcentral's name for it is "long non-coding RNA (NTAB_LNC000707)". The record is from RNAcentral. Lineage: Eukaryota; Viridiplantae; Streptophyta; Magnoliopsida; Solanales; Solanaceae.
CAGUUAUGGAGAAACCUGAAGAACCAGCAGUGGAAGAAAAACCUGAAGAACCAACAGUUAAAGAGGAACCUGAAAAAUCAGUGAUGGAAGAGAAACCUGAAGAACCAAUUGUUGAGGAGAAACUUGAAGAACCAACUGUUGAAGAGAAACCUGAAAAAUCACUGAUUGAAGAAACACCUGAAGAACCAAUAUGGGAAGAAACACCUAAAGAACUAGCAUUUGAAGAGAAACCAGAAGAACCAGCAGUUGAAGAGGAGAAACCUGAAAAGGUAACUCUUUUGGAAGAGGUGAGUAUCAAGCAUUAGCACAUAGUUUAUCCAUCAUGUUAUUUCUGUAUGUGCAUCGAUUCACAUCUGCUUAUCUAUUGAAAGUCUAAAUGAGACUUUAAAUUCUUCUUGCAGAAUAUACCAGCUGUAGAUUUCAACGACAAGACUGACCGUGAAAUUCCAUGCGAUACCAACAAUGAUAUUGCUGACUAUGCAACAGUUGAGGAAAAACCUGAAGAACCGGUAGUUGAAGAAAAACAUGAAGAACCUGCAAUUGAAAAGAAAUUUGAAGAAUCAACGGUUAUGGAGAAACCUGAAAAACCAGUGGUUAAGGUACAACCUGAAGAACCAGCAGUGGAAGAAAAAGUUGAAGAACCAACAGUUAAUGAGGAACCUGAAAAAUCAGCGAUGGAAGAGAACCCUGAAGAAUCAAUUGUUGAGGAGAAACUUGAAGAACCAACUGUUGAAGAGAAACCUGAAAAAUCACUGAUUGAAGAAACACCUGAAGAACCAAUAUGGAAAGAAACACCUAAAGAACUAGCAUUUGAAGAGCAACCAGAAGAACCAGCAGUUGAAGAGGAGAAACCUGAAAAGGUAUCUCUUUUGG